Molecule: unclassified non-coding RNA, 253 nt
Filed under: uncultured Pseudobdellovibrionaceae bacterium
Lineage: Bacteria; Pseudomonadati; Bdellovibrionota; Bdellovibrionia; Bdellovibrionales; Pseudobdellovibrionaceae
Description: uncultured Bdellovibrionaceae bacterium contains 16S-23S intergenic spacer region
Rfam family: Bacterial small subunit ribosomal RNA
Source: RNAcentral
UACGGAGGGUGCAAGCGUUGUUCGGAAUUACUGGGCGUAAAGCGGGUGUAGGCGGCUAUGUAAGUCGGAUGUGAAAGCCCUGGGCUCAACCCAGGAAGUGCAUCCGAUACUGCAUAGCUUGAGUACUGGAGAGGGAAGUGGAAUUCCUGGUGUAGCGGUGAAAUGGGUAGAUAUCAGGAGGAACAUCGGUGGCGAAGGCGGCUUCCUGGCCAUGUACUGACGCUCAGACCCGAAAGCGUGGGUAGCAAACAGG